UUUGACCUCAAAUCAGGUAGGACUACCCGCUGAACUUAAGCAUAUCAAUAAGCGGAGGAAAAGAAACUAACAAGGAUUCCCCUAGUAACUGCGAGUGAAGCGGGAAAAGCUCAAAUUUGAAAUCUGGCAGUCUAUUUUUUCUUCUUUGGCUGUCCGAGUUGUAAUCUAGAGAAGUGCUUACCUGCACUGGACCGU
This 195-nucleotide ribosomal RNA is filed under the name Amanita fulva. RNAcentral's name for it is "partial 28S ribosomal RNA". It matches the Rfam family "Eukaryotic large subunit ribosomal RNA", at positions 1 to 179 of the family's 3401-position model. Lineage: Eukaryota; Fungi; Basidiomycota; Agaricomycetes; Agaricales; Amanitaceae. The record is from RNAcentral.